ACGAAUUCUAUGGUAAGGUUAUGCAACAAUAUAUAUUCUCUACGUUGCACAUUCGCAAGAAUCGAUUUGCACAUACCCAAAGGUCAGCUCGUACGACGCAUCGUUAUAAUUAUCUAAACUUCAGGCAUCGACGUUUUGUCGUGAUAGUGAUAAUGUUUAUUAUUAAUUUCCAGUGUGUAUCAGAUGGAAACGAUAUAACACGCACGAAAAAUCAAUUAGGAGCUAUUAAUUUACAUUGUUUCAAGUGUAUAAUUCGAAACGUUUUCUGGGAAAUGAGGAUUUCAAACUUCUCUGAGGAACACAACAAACAUGGAAUCAACGAAAAGAGAAAAUGGCGAUGGUCAAAAUAAGGUUCCACUGCAUCGUGUCGCGGACGAAACAGGUCUUCGGCUUAUGAGAAACUCCGCCACACUGAAUCAUCAUCGAACGAAAUCUGACAGCCGAAAGAGGCAGUGAAGACAUAGAAUGGAAGAAAAAACUGAUGUAACCUAUCAUUAACUUUGUUCCGUAUCUUAAUGUGAAUUUAAUCAAAGGAAAACCACGAUAAACGAUAUCGACUAACAAAAAUAAACUUCCAGUAGUACAUAAUAAACGUUCAAACUUUUUAAUCUCUGCUGCGCUAUUUUCUUCGUUUCUUUGGAGCCGGAGAAAUUUUAUAAAUAUUUUAAUGUUAAUUUUACCUUUAAAUUAACUUUUUUUUUCUCUUAAUGGUAUUACACUUUUAUUAUAUUCACUUUAUAGUACAUUUUAAGUAACAUUUAAAACGUAGUCAAUCUUUAACAAGUGAAAACUUUCAUGAAACGUUCACAGAUUGUUCAAAAGUUUCUCAAUUUCAUCCAAGUACUAUAACGAGGAAUUUUCUACUAGCAGGAACACCGACGAGUUUUCUAGCCCUUCGCGAGAAGAAUAAUCGAAAGUAGAAGAAACCUCGUUUACGGAGACCAUGUUCGAAGAAUAUUCGAAACGCUGACAAACUGGCAGAACUCAUUCGCGAUGCUUUACCAAUCAUUGGACGAUUAACAAUUGAACAUUUAGAAAGAGAAAGGGAGACCGUGAGAAGUAUAGAAAAAUCGAUAAACACCAAUGACAUUUAUUUAGGGACUUAAUUUUGAAUACCCAUGCGCUGUACACCGUUUCACUUCUUUCCCAGUUCUCCAUACAACUUUCUCGUCUAAGACACGAUAAUUCUCUUUUUAAAAAUUUAUCUAAAUGUACGUUGUUUCGAUAAUGAUACGUUUCCCCGUGAGUACGGAGGAAAUAAGGAGGGGUAAACGAUUCUUUCUUCGUCUAUGACGCGGUUUCGAAGCUCGUUAAUGCGUAUCUUUAGCGAGUUUCUUUUUUUUUCGACGUCAAAACAAAGAUAUUCUUGAGACUUUUCCUCCUUUAUCAGCGUUGGUACGUAUUAAUAUCGUUUACGUAAGAAAUAAUGUACGUA
Molecule: unclassified non-coding RNA, 1435 nt
Filed under: Bombus terrestris (buff-tailed bumblebee)
Lineage: Eukaryota; Metazoa; Arthropoda; Insecta; Hymenoptera; Apidae
Description: misc RNA ENSBTSG00005039182.1
Source: RNAcentral